GACGAACGCUGGCGGCGUGCUUAACACAUGCAAGUCGAACGGAAAGGCCCUGCUUUUGUGGGGUGCUCGAGUGGCGAACGGGUGAGUAACACGUGAGUAACCUGCCCUUGACUUUGGGAUAACUUCAGGAAACUGGGGCUAAUACCGGAUAGGAGCUCCUGCUGCAUGGUGGGGGUUGGAAAGUUUCGGCGGUUGGGGAUGGACUCGCGGCUUAUCAGUUUGUUGGUGGGGUAGUGGCUUACCAAGGCUUUGACGGGUAGCCGGCCUGAGAGGGUGACCAGCCACAUUGGGACUGAGAUACGGCCCAGACUCCUACGGGAGGCAGCAGUGGGGAAUAUUGCACAAUGGGCGGAAGCCUGAUGCAGCAACGCCGCGUGCGGGAUGACGGCCUUCGGGUUGUAAACCGCUUUCGCCUGUGACGAAGCGUGAGUGACGGUAAUGGGUAAAGAAGCACCGGCUAACUACGUG
This 468-nucleotide ribosomal RNA is filed under the name uncultured bacterium. RNAcentral's name for it is "partial 16S ribosomal RNA". It matches the Rfam family "Bacterial small subunit ribosomal RNA", at positions 28 to 507 of the family's 1533-position model. The record is from RNAcentral.